Molecule: transfer RNA, 71 nt
Filed under: Marmota monax (woodchuck)
Lineage: Eukaryota; Metazoa; Chordata; Mammalia; Rodentia; Sciuridae
Description: tRNA.Ala
Rfam family: tRNA
About the family: Transfer RNA (tRNA) molecules are approximately 80 nucleotides in length.
Source: RNAcentral
GGGGUUGUGGCUCAGUGGUAGAGCACCCGCCUCGCACGUGUGAGGCACUGGGUGCGAUCCUCAGCACCACA